CAGAAUCUACGCAGACAAACUUUCUCUGGAUUAUUCUAGUCUUUGCUCUAAUUUUUUUAAUGGCAGCAUGUUAUUUUCAUGGAAACAGGUACAGAUCAUCACUGGUGAGAAGUCUUAACUGCAGAAGGGACCAAAGCCUGUAGCUCAGCCUGGACCCGAUGUUUAUUUCCACAGAUCCGUCCCUUUCCUCUUCCCUGCACCCUUCUGUUUAGCCAUAUAGUUUUGCAGUGUCCCCUUCUACAGGACCAUCCCUUGACUUUAUGGUAAAUUAUGUGCCUUACUGUUUCCUAGGAAAACUUGAACUGUAAUUAGAAGAAUAAUUUAAGAAUUAAAUUAUC
Molecule: long non-coding RNA, 338 nt
Organism: Nannospalax galili (Upper Galilee mountains blind mole rat)
Lineage: Eukaryota; Metazoa; Chordata; Mammalia; Rodentia; Spalacidae
Exons: 2
Source: RefSeq, a predicted model, not a curated record